RNAcentral lists this ribosomal RNA (996 nucleotides) under Triticum aestivum (bread wheat). Its description in RNAcentral is "partial small subunit ribosomal RNA". The record is from RNAcentral. Lineage: Eukaryota; Viridiplantae; Streptophyta; Magnoliopsida; Poales; Poaceae.
AUGUGGACUCAUCUUCGUCAGCGCUAUCAACCCUCUCGUGAUGCUCUCUACUUGUCUGUGGUACGUCAGGAGCAUGCUCUUCAGCAGGGAGACUCCACUAUUGAUGAGUUCUACACUCAGAGUUCUGCUAUCUGGCGCCAGCUUGACUCCCUUCGCACUCCUGUUUGUGGCACUUGCGCAUGUUGCCAGAUUGUGAGGUCCGGCUUGGAGUUUCAACGUGUCUAUGAGUUUCUGUCGCGGCUUCGUGGGGAGUUUGAGCCUCGCCGUGCUCAGUUGUUUGCUCGUGGUUGUGUUCCUAUUUCUGAGGCACUUUCUGAGCUUCGUGCUGAGGAGACUCGCCGUGGUGCUGGGUUGCUUCAGGUUCCCUCUGUGCUUGCUGCUCCAGCUGCUCCCCCAGUGCGUUCUCGCUCCAGUGCUCCGCCGCUACUGCCCACUCAUGGUUAGGGUCGCUCUCGUCCUCGUCCUCAUUGUGGCUACUGCAACAGGGAUGGUCACCCUGAGGCUGAGUGCUUUCAGAAGAAACGUGAUAUGCGUAAUAGGGAGCGCAAUUCUGCUUCUGGGACAAGUGCUUCUUCCUCGACAUCGUCUACUGUCUCCUUCACUGAGCAGGAAAUUGUGAAGCUUAAGCGUCUACUUGCUGCUUCAGGUUCUUCAACAGGUACUGCAGGCUCUGUGACUGGCGCUUCUAGUGCUGAGCGACCACCAUUUACACAGUCAGGUACAUCCCCAUGGGUUCUGGAUUCUGGAGCUUCAUUUCAUAUGUCUUCUAAUUCUUAUGUCUUGUCCUCUCUUAGAUCUCUCGAUUUUCCUAUUAAUGUUCUAACUGCUGAUGAUACUCCUCUCCCUGUUGCCAGCAAAGGCACUCUUGCCACUUCUUCCUUUUAUGUUCCAGAUGUUUCUCAUGUUCCUCGCCUUACCAUGAACCUAUUUUCCGCAAGUCAGCUUGCUGAUUCUGGUUGUUGUGUCAUUCUUGACGUUGAUUCUUGUACUAUUUAG